ACGGAGGAGCACGAAGGUUGGCUAAACAUGGUUGGACAUCAUGUGGUUAGUGCAAAGGCAUAAGCCAGCUUAACUGCGAGACAGACACGUCGAGCAGGUACGAAAGUAGGUCUUAGUGAUCCGGUGGUUCUGAAUGGAAGGGCCAUCGCUCAACGGAUAAAAGGUACUCCGGGGAUAACAGGCUGAUACCGCCCAAGAGUUCAUAUCGACGGCGGUGUUUGGCACCUCGAUGUCGGCUCAUCACAUCCUGGGGCUGAAGUUGGUCCCAAGGGUAUGGCUGUUCGCCAUUUAAAGUGGUACGCGAGCUGGGUUUAGAACGUCGUGAGACAGUUCGGUCCCUAUCUGCCGUGGGCGUUUGAGAAUUGAGAGGAGCUGCUCCUAGUACGAGAGGACCGGAGUGGACGAACCACUGGUGUUCGGGUUGUCAUGCCAAUGGCAUUGCCCGGUAGCUAAGUUCGGAACUGAUAACCGCUGAAAGCAUCUAAGCGGGAAGCAGGCCUCGAGAUGAGUUCUCACUGGAGCUUUAAGCUCCCUGAAGGGCCGUUGGAGACUACAACGUUGAUAGGCAAGGUGUGUAAGUGCUGUGAGGCAUUGAGCUAACUUGUACUAAUUACCCGUGAGGCUUAACCAUA
RNAcentral lists this ribosomal RNA (632 nucleotides) under Moritella sp. PE36. Its description in RNAcentral is "bacterial LSU rRNA". It matches the Rfam family "Bacterial large subunit ribosomal RNA", at positions 2300 to 2925 of the family's 2925-position model. The record is from RNAcentral. Lineage: Bacteria; Pseudomonadati; Pseudomonadota; Gammaproteobacteria; Alteromonadales; Moritellaceae.